CCCGCACAAGCGGUGGAGCAUGUGGUUUAAUUCGACGCAACGCGAAGAACCUUACCUGGGUUUGACAUCCCUGUCGUAUUCCAUGGAAACAUGGGAGUCAGUUCGGCUGGACAGGUGACAGGUGCUGCAUGGCUGUCGUCAGCUCGUGUCGUGAGAUGUUGGGUUAAGUCCCGCAACGAGCGCAACCCUUGUCCUUAGUUGCCACCAUUCAGUUGGGCACUCUAAGGAGACUGCCGGUGUUAAACCGGAGGAAGGUGGGGAUGACGUCAAGUCCUCAUGGCCCUUAUAUCCAGGGCUACACACGUGCUACAAUGGCCGGUACAAAGGGUCGCAAUACCGCAAGGUGGAGCUAAUCCCAAAAAGCCGGUCUCAGUCCGGAUUGGAGUCUGCAACUCGACUCCAUGAAGUUGGAAUCGCUAGUAAUCGCGGAUCAGCACGCCGCGGUGAAUACGUUCCCGGGCCUU
RNAcentral lists this ribosomal RNA (464 nucleotides) under uncultured Geothermobacter sp. RNAcentral's name for it is "bacterial SSU rRNA". It matches the Rfam family "Bacterial small subunit ribosomal RNA", at positions 920 to 1382 of the family's 1533-position model. Lineage: Bacteria; Pseudomonadati; Thermodesulfobacteriota; Desulfuromonadia; Desulfuromonadales; Geothermobacteraceae. The record is from RNAcentral.